Molecule: unclassified non-coding RNA, 202 nt
Filed under: uncultured Thelephoraceae
Lineage: Eukaryota; Fungi; Basidiomycota; Agaricomycetes; Thelephorales; Thelephoraceae
Description: sequence contains ITS1
Source: RNAcentral
CCGAACCGUCGACACGAGUUGUUGCUGGCCCCUCUCACGGGGGGCAUGUGCACGCUCUGUUUACACAUCCACUCACACCUGUGCACCCUCUGUGGUUCUGUGGCUCGAGGGACCCCGUCCCUCUGCCGCGGUUCUGCGUUUUUAUACACACCCUGUAGUAAAAGUCUUAUGGAAUGUGUUCCGCGUUUAACGCAAUGAAAUA